CGCUGACUGCGGUAUGCGGCUUCAGCCCGAGCUGAACCCCCUGGCUCCACUUCCCCGGUGCCAGGUGGUGACAUGACUCGGGUUGGGACCGGAUGCCGCAGUCUUUGCUUA
This is a regulatory RNA element of Propionibacterium freudenreichii subsp. shermanii CIRM-BIA1, 111 nucleotides long. It matches the Rfam family "mraW RNA". Lineage: Bacteria; Bacillati; Actinomycetota; Actinomycetes; Propionibacteriales; Propionibacteriaceae. The record is from Rfam.